Brassica oleracea var. oleracea is the source of this 734-nucleotide long non-coding RNA. RefSeq lists it as uncharacterized. The record is from RefSeq and is a predicted model, not a curated record. Lineage: Eukaryota; Viridiplantae; Streptophyta; Magnoliopsida; Brassicales; Brassicaceae. The transcript is spliced from 6 exons.
ACAAGUAAUAAAAAGGAAAUAAGAGCCUCAGAUACGAUGUUCACGUCAGAUGGAAAAAUCACUCGAUCAUGUUAUAAGGUUUUGCCACGUAGGCUACGAAUUUGGUGAGAAAAAACUGUUUACGCUCUGUGUUUUGCGUUUGCCGGAAAAAUCUACAUCCCCAGAGAUCAAUUAUCUGUGGAUGAUGUGAAGGUUUACGUUCCCGGAGUGGAGAAACCCAUAGAUGUUUUCCCCAAUGCUAGCCAUCUUGCUAAAAGUUGGAGUGUCAAUCGGUUGCUCUGCUGCUACUGCUCGAGCUGAGCUGAUGACGAUGAUGACAUGGAUCUUUUUGGUGACGAGACUGAGGAGGAAAAGAAAGCUGCAGAGGAGAGGGAGACUGCUAAGAAGCCCAAAGAGAGUGGAUAGUCAUAUGUGCUCAUGGAAGUAGAGCCAUUGGAUGAUGAGACGACAUGAAGAAACUGGGAGCGGCUGUUCGCUGUGUUGAGAUGCAUGGUCUUCUAUGGGGAGCUUGUACGUCAACAAUUACCAUCUGUCUAUACUUGCAAUCGAAACGAGUGUAAGCUAUGAACUAUUUGUGUAAGGCAGUUUUAUUAUUUGUUCUUUUCUUCUGUUUAGUUGUUGCAGCAAAACUGGUACCAUUUGUUACGGUAUCAAAGAAGCUCACGAUCAUGCUAUCAUAAAUAAUUGAGCUUACAAGCCCAAAGUCUAACCGACCCAAACAAUUUCGUAUUUGU